This 664-nucleotide unclassified non-coding RNA is filed under the name Hevea brasiliensis (rubber tree). Lineage: Eukaryota; Viridiplantae; Streptophyta; Magnoliopsida; Malpighiales; Euphorbiaceae. The record is from RNAcentral.
AAUUAUAAUAAGAUUGAGUUGUUGCAUAAACAUACUUUAUGAUCAAUGUCUAAGCAAAUAUUAAUGAAAAUUCAUUGAUACAUUGAGCUCAAUGCUUUGUGUCACGCAAACGUUUCCACUGCUAGGACUCCUACACUUUGCCUUCAAGUCUGUCUACUCUUUAGAAGGCGUAUUUGGAGGUGACCAAAUUUUGCAGCUCCAGGUGAAGAACCUUCAAACACAUAUGGUGAGAAUCCAGUGGCAGUUUUGUAUCUUUGCUGAAUCUCAACAAGUUGUUGGUUGCUUCUUAAACAGUUCCUCCCGAUAACACAAACAGUUCCACCAGAACCUCCACCUGUUAUCUUUGCCCCAAAUAAAGUCCCACCUUCAGAUUCUGAUGAUUUAGAGUGCUGCAUUUCUUGUACCAAGUUAACCAGCCUAUCUGUCCCAUUUGACGCAAGACCACAAGCACUGUAGCUGAGAUGGCACUGAUACAUUAACUCUCCAAGAGCAGAUAGUUGAUAAUUGGAAGGUGUAGCUGAUAAUAAUACUUUGAAAGCCUUGACUCGGAAAUUUUCAUAGAUGGGAUGCCUAGUGGGUGCUCUCACAGCAUAAUUGCGUUCUUUGUCAAUUGUAGUUACAGAAUCAUCAUGAUCAAGAUACUUCUCCACAAAUUCUUGUCCAG